Molecule: transfer RNA, 63 nt
Filed under: Batracomorphus fuscomaculatus
Lineage: Eukaryota; Metazoa; Arthropoda; Insecta; Hemiptera; Cicadellidae
Description: tRNA-Phe
Source: RNAcentral
GUUUUUAUAGUUUAAUUAGAAUAUAGUAUUGAAGCUACUAAGGAAAUAUUUUAUUUAAUAACA